GAUGAACGCCGGCGGCGUGCCUAAUACAUGCAAGUCGAGCGAACGGACGAGAAGCUUGCUUCUCUGAUGUUAGCGGCGGACGGGUGAGUAACACGUGGAUAACCUACCUAUAAGACUGGGAUAACUUCGGGAAACCGGAGCUAAUACCGGAUAAUAUUUUGAACCGCAUGGUUCAAAAGUGAAAGACGGUCUUGCUGUCACUUAUAGAUGGAUCCGCGCUGCAUUAGCUAGUUGGUAAGGUAACGGCUUACCAAGGCAACGAUGCAUAGCCGACCUGAGAGGGUGAUCGGCCACACUGGAACUGAGACACGGUCCAGACUCCUACGGGAGGCAGCAGUAGGGAAUCUUCCGCAAUGGGCGAAAGCCUGACGGAGCAACGCCGCGUGAGUGAUGAAGGUCCUCGGAUCGUAAAACUCUGUUAUUAGGGAAGAACAUAUGUGUAAGUAACUGUGCACAUCUUGACGGUACCUAAUCAGAAAGCCACGGCUAACUACGUG
RNAcentral lists this ribosomal RNA (497 nucleotides) under uncultured bacterium. Its description in RNAcentral is "partial 16S ribosomal RNA". It matches the Rfam family "Bacterial small subunit ribosomal RNA", at positions 28 to 507 of the family's 1533-position model. The record is from RNAcentral.